GUAGGUGGCAAGCGUUGUCCGGAAUUAUUGGGCGUAAAGCGCGCGCAGGCGGUCCUUUAAGUCUGAUGUGAAAGCCCACGGCUCAACCGUGGAGGGUCAUUGGAAACUGGGGGACUUGAGUACAGAAGAGGAAAGCGGAAUUCCACGUGUAGCGGUGAAAUGCGUAGAGAUGUGGAGGAACACCAGUGGAGAAGGCGGCUUUCUGGUCUGUAACUGACGCUGAGGCGCGAAAGCGUGGGGAGCAAACAGGGAUUAGAUACCCUGGUAGUCCACGCCGUAAACGAUGAGUGCUAAGUGUUAGGGGGUUUCCCGCCCCUUAGUGCUGCAGCUAACGCAUUAAGCACUCCGCCUGGGGAGUACGGCCGCAAGGCUG
Molecule: ribosomal RNA, 373 nt
Filed under: uncultured organism
Description: partial 16S ribosomal RNA
Rfam family: Bacterial small subunit ribosomal RNA
Source: RNAcentral